UAACAAUCCUAGAUUGAUAUUAUAGCUUUUCAACACAUGUUAAAUAAACAUAGCAGAUUACAACACUUGGAAAGCAUAGAUAUUUCUAUUGAUAAAUAGAUAGGAGUUGAGAAAGAAGCACCUUUGAGUGGUACACUCAUUGCUUGUAUAAUUUUAUCUGAUGGAUUGUGCAACAAGAUCAACCAUUUCCUUUAGAAUCCUCUAAAUAGAGUAUGCAACACCUCCUACUGAAUGUAAUGUAAAAAUGAGAUGCAACUAAAGAGCAGAUACACAAGUAAUGUAAGAAAAUUAAAGACAAAAUUAGCACAUGUGUGCGCCCAUCAAAAGCACAUUCCAAUAUGUACAGACUUGUAAUAUGUAACACAGCUCGUUCACAUUGAUUUGUACGGCUUCGGUACAGCCGUGUCAUUGAAUAUCAAGGAAAUAGUGAACUAUUGCACAAAGAUAUGAUGCACUAGUGAUCAUAUUUGUUAAUAAGUUCACUCUUGCUGAUGCUCAAGUCGUACGCAUGAGAUAACAUGGCAAGGAGGCAACGGGAACAUUCAGUUGUGGACCAUGAGAAACAAUAGUACAAAGGAGAGUUCACUUUUUUUUGCUUAAGUAUAGGAUAAAUUUAAUAGCUUGUUCAAUGGCAUCAACCUAAAAGUGCUACCAAAUCUAUGGUGAAAUGAAUAGAAAACGGAGCGCUUUCUUAGAAAGCAAGUUACCAAUUUUUAUAUGUUGUAAAGAUAAAAGAGGAACGCUUUAUUAGAAAAAUGAACAGACCCAAAAACAAGCUUUGCACAACCAACUCCAGGUGCACCUGGAGCGUAACAAGUUCAUUGGGCCUGUAAUGACCAUGAUUUCCAUCGAGUUUUUUAUCUUCUAUAGAUAUGCUCUCCUGUAAUAAAAUUGAAAGAACCAAGUCAAUUUCUCACUAAUAAUCACAAGACAAAGAUGCUGGGAAACUAAUCCUUACUGUUAUCGGAUCAAAAAUAGUACUCCCUCCAUAAAGAAAUAUAAGAACGUUUAGAUCAAUAGAGGGAGUAGUUUCUAACAUAAAUAUUAGUGUCAACUGAACUCUCACAAUUAAGGCACCUCCUCGGUAAGCUCAAUACCAAAGGUCAAAAGUAGUACUUGUGAACUGAUUCUUGCAAGUUCAAACAGACCCUUGAUUGUAUCCAGACCAAUAGAUAAUACAAUGCUCACAGCAAGAAUAGUUACCGAUUGGCAUGGACAGAGUGCCAUGAAAUCAAACUGAAUCAGAAGAAUUUACCCACUCCAGCUCUAGGUCAAGGUUUGAUUCCUUUCUGGUAAGGGGAAUGGAGAAGGGGGAAAGAGGUGUUACCUAUGGGAGGAUGGUCGCUGGGGUGGCGUUCGUGCAUGGGAACCAGGCCACAUAUGAGCCACGCGGCAGAGGAAAUGAGGAGGAGAUGCACCGAUGACACGAAGCGGCUAGGGUUUGCCACAGAGUCCAUUGGGCCACUAUGGCCUUCGUUGUCGACUCGCCGCCGUUGUCAUCGUAGACUGGAGCAAGCUCCAAUGAUGUCAUUCAUGUUGAACAUGCCCGAGCGAAAUAUGUUGCUCCUUCGAACAAAUAGAAUUCCACGAUGCACCAUCUAGGUCGAGUUGUCCUAAUAUUAUUGGCAGUCAUUAAUAAUACUAUACAACUGCCGUUACAAGAACAAGAAUUUUCUAUUACAAAAUCUACUACUAGCAAGUAACGAGCAUCUUCUACAAGCAUAAUAAUGGCAUGUCUUGCAGAAAAAUAGCCCAACUUUCACAAAUGAGAUAGGUGCUAAUAUGAUUUUUUGCUAUUCAUGAAUGUCGUCAUUUGCGUACAUCAAAAGGAAAGCAGUAGAUUCACAUGAACUACAUUGUUGAAUGUGAAAGACAAGAAUCACUCGUUAUAUAUAACAACAAAUUUCUCACACGAAGUUUGCACGCAACUAGUGAUUUGUUUGAAGUUCGAUUACCACAAACUGGAUGUUAAUUAUAUAUAGGAUUACACUAAAGAAAAAUAGGAAAUCAAUUACAAGUUGACUAUUUGAGGGGCCUCAUUGGUGUUUUAUAUUUUGAAGGGAUGGGCAAACAUGAUAAUAGUUCCCUCGUGAUGAGUACUUUUCUAUUAACAACCAUCACCAUUUAUAGCAUACCCAAGACUGAACCUGGAGCAUUUGGUACAUCUCACUCAUAUCUAGCGAAGUUAGCAAUAGGUAUUAUAUAACAACCUACAAGCUCAACAAUUAAGACAUGUUUAUAUCUUGCAAAAGAAACAUGUGAUGUUUUAUCGGUCAAGAUAAAAUUAAGCAGUCCAAGUAAACAUGCUCAAACAAUAAUUAUCUGGAAAAAAAUAUUUGUCCCUACUACAUGUAAAUCCAAUACCCAUUCAAUACUUGGCAUCACUAAAUGAGAAAUCUAAAUGAUGAAAUUAGUAAUCUCUUCUCCUACUUGAAUGAGCUCAACAAAUAUGCCACCAUGCACUCCGCAUCAUAAACACUAGAAAUCAACAUGGCCAUCACAUAAUUUCUCUAGCAAUAGGGCUCCAUGGCCACGGACCCGCGCAGAGAACGAGCAUGAGAGUGAGCGAAGCAGAGUAGAGGGACGGUUGGUUGCUUACCAGAUAUGCCCGAGAGGAAGAAGAACGGUCGGAGUUGUUGGAGUGGAAGAAGAAUCACGAGGUGGCUCUGUCCUGCACCACCACAUGCGCGCAUUAGAAAGUGCAUCAGGGAACCAAGACAUGAUCGCUUAUGCAAUAGGGCUACCAAACCAAACAAAACGGGGGAGGGGGAGCAAAACAUUGACCUGCUGGUAAUAUAACAUAUACACCCUCUUUACACUAGUAGAAGACGUUUUGUACAGAGCUAAUAACAUAUCGCACACUUGACUAUUUCAGCAAAAACAUGAGCUGCGCCUUCAGACCUGGUGCUACUACAAGUGUUGAUUCCUGAAUUUGUACCUGAACACAAGUUCAGUUCAUAUACACAAAUAUAAUAUGUAUGUUUGUGCAUGACCAUGCAGAACUGAACUGAAUAAUGUGGACGGUGACAUAGAUCGGUUGACAUGGAACAAUAUACUAUGCUGGUAGGUUUUCAAUCACGUGUCUAGAGGAGAAUUCAAAGUUCCGUAAUUGCACAUUCUCGGCAGUGCUUUACCUCCACUAAUAAUGCAUAUUGCACACUUGACUUUUUCUAGCUAAACAUGAGGUGCACCUUCAGACCUGUUGCUACAAGUGUUGAGUCUGAAUCAUAGGAUGAGCAGAGAGAGAGAUGACAGACCCGAGCUGUUGCUGAUUUGAUGGACCUCGACGAUGGUUGAAUCAUAGAUUUUCUUUUUAAGAAAGCGUUCCUAUUUUCUCUAGUCAGACCCAAGUCACCAUAGAAAAAUGAACAAACCCAAAUCUAUUCAACAUGCUGUAAAGAAAUCUACUCUAAAAUCAGAGAGCAUGCAACAUAAAAAAGGAUUAAACAAGAAACAUGUCGACCUCCAUAGACAUGCAGAUCGCCCCACCUCCCUUGCCUUCUUCUCGUCUUUCUCCUCCUUCUACACCUUCUCCUCCUUCCUCAUCCGCUUUUGCUCAUUUUCUCUGGUCAGGGAAUGGAUCAAAUUGAUACCCCUAAAAACAAACCGGUAAGAUCAGAAAUUGUACAAGGGAAAAAUGAAUUUUUCUUCCCAAAUCAAGCGACAUAGAAGACCGCCGGUGGCGGAGACGAGGACGCACCCCAAACCCUAACCAUGGAUGGAUUGUGUGCGAGCGUUGGAGGCAUGGAGGAACGGAACUGGCCGGAGAGAUCAACGCAGCAUGACGAGGUGAGCUCGGCAGCAUCCUGCGCACCGGCCAUGGCCGCUGGACCUCGCCACAGGCACACAGGUGGCGGAGACGAGGUCGCACCCCAACCCUAACUGCGGGGGGUUGAUUGGGCGCGAGCAUUACAUGCAAGGAUGGACGGAUCUGGGUGGAGGGAUCAACACAACAUUGCUACGUGAGCUCAGUAGCCUCCCGCGCGUCGGCCAUGGCCGCCAGAGCUCACCGAUAAGGUCGUCGGCGGCGGUGGCUAACCAUAGGUCAUGGGAGGGGGGAGAGGAGAUGUGGCUGAGGGGAGAGUGUCUUUGACGCGGCCAUAGCCCAUGUUUUCCGUCAACGGCUAGGAAAGGAGACGACAAACCGUUAUUUUUGCCAUCAGCGUACCUAAAUCAUGACGGCAAAGAAGCCUUUGCCGUCAUGCCUCUUUUGUCGUUUGUCUGUUGGAAUCUCUGCUGAGAGUUUUGUUUUGCCAUUAGUUGCUAGACGACAAAAAGACCUUUGCCGUCUU
RNAcentral lists this long non-coding RNA (4292 nucleotides) under Hordeum vulgare. Its description in RNAcentral is "long non-coding RNA (HVUL_LNC004642)". Lineage: Eukaryota; Viridiplantae; Streptophyta; Magnoliopsida; Poales; Poaceae. The record is from RNAcentral.